RNAcentral lists this non-coding RNA (18 nucleotides) under Arabidopsis thaliana (thale cress). The record is from RNAcentral. Lineage: Eukaryota; Viridiplantae; Streptophyta; Magnoliopsida; Brassicales; Brassicaceae.
CACCGCCCGUCGCUCCUA